CCUACGGGCGGCAGCAGUGGGGAAUCUUGCGCAAUGGGCGGAAGCCUGACGCAGCGACGCCGCGUGCGGGACGAAGGCCUUCGGGUCGUAAACCGCUUUCAGCAGGGACGAGGCCCUCACGGUGACGGUACCUGCAGAAGAAGCCCUGGCUAACUACGUGCCAGCAGCUGCGGCAAUACGUGGGGGGCGAGCGUUAUCCGGAUUCAGUGGGCGUAAAGCGCGCGUAGGCGGCCUGUUAGGUCGGGGGUAAAGUACCGGGGCUCAACCCCGGUCCGCCCCCGAUACCGGCAGGCUUGAGUAUGGUAGAGGAAAGCGGAAUUCCCAGUGUAGCGGUGGAAUGCGCAGAUAUUGGGAAGAACACCAGCGGCGAAGGCGGCCUUCUGGGCCACGACUGACGCUGAGGCGCGAAAGCUAGGGGAGCGAACAGGAUUAGAUACCCUUGUAGUC
Molecule: ribosomal RNA, 447 nt
Filed under: uncultured bacterium
Lineage: Bacteria
Description: partial 16S ribosomal RNA
Rfam family: Bacterial small subunit ribosomal RNA
Source: RNAcentral